GUCUCUGCAGCGCAAUGGAUAGCGCGUUGAAUUUCUAAUCCAAAGGGCGUAGGUUUGAAUCAUACUUGUGAUA
RNAcentral lists this transfer RNA (73 nucleotides) under Trichonephila clavipes. It matches the Rfam family "tRNA". Rfam says of the family: Transfer RNA (tRNA) molecules are approximately 80 nucleotides in length. Their secondary structure includes four short double-helical elements and three loops (D, anti-codon, and T loops). The record is from Rfam by way of RNAcentral. Lineage: Eukaryota; Metazoa; Arthropoda; Arachnida; Araneae; Nephilidae.